Long non-coding RNA from Helianthus annuus (common sunflower), 358 nucleotides. RefSeq lists it as uncharacterized. NCBI's taxonomy places the organism in Eukaryota, Viridiplantae, Streptophyta, Magnoliopsida, Asterales, Asteraceae. The transcript has 3 exons. The record is from RefSeq and is a predicted model, not a curated record.
AGGAGACCCCCCCCCCCCCCCGGUCGAAACCCUUCCUCUUGAAGAUCAUAUCUUGUGCCUAGCCCUAUUCAUAGCCUGGAUUUGGUUGACCAACUUGGAACGGGUAACGUAACGUAGCAUACCGAGCAGUCUAAGGUCGUUAGGUAUCUUGGAAGUGGGAAGCUUGCUAUCUGGGAGUGCUGGAGUGGUCAUGGAUCGAGGCUCUUGGAUUAAAAUACACUUAAUACAUUGGUUUUUAAGCGUUGUUACGAAACAAAUGUUAAACAACUUGUUACAUGCUUCCGCUACAUAACUUUUGAGAAUUAAUAUUAUGUUGACAACUUAUGUGAGUAAAUUAAUGUCAUGAUUUAUUUAAAUA